GACGAACCGUGCAAACGUUAUUCGGAAUCACUGGGCUUAAAGGGCGCGUAGACGGAUCCCUGCGUCGACGGCUGAAAGCCCCCGGCUCAACCGGGGAACGGGCCUCGAUACGAGGGAUCUCGAGUGGAGGAGGGGGACCUGGAACUUCCGGUGGAGCGGUGAAAUGCGUUGAGAUCGGAAGGAACGCCCGCGGCGAAAGCGAGGUCCUGGACUCCGACUGACGUUGAGGCGCGAAAGCCAGGGGAGCGAACGGG
RNAcentral lists this ribosomal RNA (254 nucleotides) under uncultured bacterium. Its description in RNAcentral is "partial 16S ribosomal RNA". It matches the Rfam family "Bacterial small subunit ribosomal RNA", at positions 524 to 776 of the family's 1533-position model. The record is from RNAcentral.